This 253-nucleotide ribosomal RNA is filed under the name uncultured bacterium. Its description in RNAcentral is "partial 16S ribosomal RNA". It matches the Rfam family "Bacterial small subunit ribosomal RNA", at positions 524 to 776 of the family's 1533-position model. The record is from RNAcentral.
UACGAAGGGGGCUAGCGUUGCUCGGAAUCACUGGGCGUAAAGCGCACGUAGGCGGCUUCUUAAGUCAGGGGUGAAAUCCUGGAGCUCAACUCCAGAACUGCCUUUGAUACUGAGAGGCUUGAGUCCGGGAGAGGUGAGUGGAACUGCGAGUGUAGAGGUGAAAUGCGUAGAUAUUCGCAAGAACACCAGUGGCGAAGGCGGCUCACUGGCCCGGUACUGACGCUGAGGUGCGAAAGCGUGGGGAGCAAACAGG